ACCCCAUAAAUCCCCUAAUCAACUUUCAGCUUAACACUAAAAGUCACUAAUUUUCAGUAUGAGCGUUUAUGUGCGAUUUGAGAUAACUAGCUCGAGUAAAGGCUUUUGGACAUUGUGGACAUUUGUGUGGACGCUCUCCAGUGUGAGACCGUAUGUGCCUGCCAAGCUCUCCUUUGUCAACACAAUUUUUGGGGCAAUGCGGACACUUGAAUGGAUACUCGCCCGUAUGCGUGCGGAUAUGCCGCUGCAGCUGCCAGGCGAGCACAUAUUCCCUGGGACAAAGUUGGCAUUUCUCUGGCAUUUGUAAGUCUGUUUGCCUGGAUGCGUGGAGACGUGAUACUGAAGAUCCGUGUGGCGCGUAAAGGCUCGCGUACAGUGAGGACAUUUAAACGGGCGUUCACCUGAAUGAAUGCAAAUGUGCUUGCGGAGAUUUGAAGCCUGGCUAAAGGCUUUCGGACAAUGCGGGCAUUUAAAUGGCUUCUCGCCUGUGUGGAUGCGUAUGUGCGAGUUGAGAUGACAUUUUUGGGAAAACCGUUUUGGGCAGUGUGGACACGUAAAUUGCCCCUUUUUGGUCUCUCUCCUAGGAGAGUGUUCUGUGGCAGCAUUUGAUUCGAACUCUUUUUGGUUCGCUGCGUCAUCUGUCAGCGGAUUGUAUUCAAAUUUUUGCGCCUCUUGUUCCACUUUGAUGCAACCUAUAUCCAUAUCUGGCUCUGACCGUUCCCAGUUCUCUGUUUCCAGCAAUUCUGACUGUAUAUUUAUCGCGGUGCUC
RNAcentral lists this small RNA (769 nucleotides) under Drosophila mojavensis. RNAcentral describes it as "GI26385". The record is from RNAcentral. Lineage: Eukaryota; Metazoa; Arthropoda; Insecta; Diptera; Drosophilidae.